Molecule: non-coding RNA, 29 nt
Filed under: Bombyx mori (domestic silkworm)
Lineage: Eukaryota; Metazoa; Arthropoda; Insecta; Lepidoptera; Bombycidae
Source: RNAcentral
UGAACAUCUUGUAGUCGGUUGAUCACUGC